This 253-nucleotide ribosomal RNA is filed under the name uncultured bacterium. Its description in RNAcentral is "partial 16S ribosomal RNA". It matches the Rfam family "Bacterial small subunit ribosomal RNA", at positions 524 to 776 of the family's 1533-position model. The record is from RNAcentral.
UACGUAGGUGGUAAGCGUUGUUCGGAAUUACUGGGCGUAAAGGGCUCGUAGGCGGCCAACUAAGUCAGACGUGAAAUCCCUCAGCUUAACUGGGGAACUGCGUCUGAUACUGGAUGGCUUGGAUUCGGGAGAGGAAUGCGGAAUUCCAGGUGUAGCGGUGAAAUGCGUAGAUAUCUGGAGGAACACCGGUGGCGAAGGCGGCAUUCUGGACCGACAUUGACGCUGAGGAGCGAAAGCCAGGGGAGCAAACGGG